This 1549-nucleotide long non-coding RNA is filed under the name Salvia miltiorrhiza (redroot sage). RNAcentral describes it as "long non-coding RNA (SMIL_LNC010866)". Lineage: Eukaryota; Viridiplantae; Streptophyta; Magnoliopsida; Lamiales; Lamiaceae. The record is from RNAcentral.
AAAAAUCAAGAAACUCAUUUCAAACUUGUAUUUUGCAUUGACUAGUAAAUAAAGUAGAUAAGUUAAGAAAAGCUUCGUCUCAUUUUCCAAUGGGAAAACAAAAACGCCGCAAAUAGUGUCUGUUGCUUUCGCCUCAGAAUUCAAUAUUGUUAGAAAUGGAUAUUGGGUCCAUUUCUCUCUUAAAAGGCCUUAUAAGGGAGAAUGAUACGCCAAGCCCAUCCCCUAGCUUGGCCCUAUUAUGAUCUAGCCCAUUAGCCCAUUAGGUUUUUAUUAUUAGGUAUAAAUAAUGUAAUCUCUAAGUUUAUUGGAUAUGAAAUGAAUAUGUUGGUUGUUUUGUCAAAUCUCUCCCUUCUCUCUUGAUUUAUGGAGUUUGAGNAUAAUUAAAUAGAUCAUUUUAACGUUUAGCAAAGCUCAAACUAAUUUUAAAAGUUCAAAUUAAUGUUUAAAGCCCAUUAUUUAAUUCUAUGAAUUAUUUUAAAAGCCCUAUAGGCAAAUUCUAUUUCUCUCUCUCUCUACUCUUUCACCUUCUCCAUUUUCAUUCUCUUCUUGUGUGGGUGCAGCGAGUCCACGUAAAUAUUACUUUAAAAAAAUCGAAGUGCAUCACCGUUGAUACGGAUCCGUAUCAAUGGUGGAGCAAUUCGAGUCGCUCAAACUCCAUAAAUCAAGAGAGAAGAGAGAGAUUUGACAAAACCAAAAUAUUCAUUUCAUAUCCAAUAAACUUAGAGAUUACAUUAUUUAUACCUAAUAAUAAAAACCUAAUGGGCUAAUGGGCUAGAUCAUAAUAGGGCCAAGCUAGGGGAUGGGCUUGGCGUAUCAUUCCCCACCCCUUCACAAUCACCUUGUCCUCAAGGUGAAGCUACAAAAAAUGGUGAUGGGAGUACAAGAUUCGGCCCACUAAUUGCAAAAACAAAACUAAAUAGUGCCGAAAUAACAACUGCCCGACAACUUCUUGAUAAAAGCUACGACUGAAAAUCAACUAAGAAGCUUGAUAAACUACGCCCACCAUAUGCUCGACAAAAGCUCCGGCUAAAAACUGAUGCGGAUCAGCUAGGCAUGCCCACGAGAUCCGGCGGCGGUUCGCCACAUAGCUGGACUUCUUGACCAAGUCCACGAUCCUUCUCCUUGACAUCGACGGCGUGAUGUGGCGCGGACAAUAGCAGAGACAAGCCUUGAGGCCGUGGAAGAACCCCAAUUUUAUAAUCUCGGAGAAAGCAACGGAGACGGGCCUGGGCACUUGGGCCGUGGGCAGCCACAAUCAAAGCUUUAGGGCCACUCAUAUUGGGCCCAAAUAUAUUGAUUGGGUUGGGCUCUUCAUUCUUAGACUUGGGCCCAAUCGAAAUCUGAAACAACUGAUUCAACGUCUCAUGAGAAACCCUGACUCGCCACAGAUUAAUUGAAGUUAUCGGUAACCAUGUUAAAAAUUGAUAUUGAGUCAAUUCCUCCCUUAAAAGGCCUUAGAAGGGAGAGGGUUGCCUCAUCAUAUAAAGUGGCUCAUGCCACUAUCUCCAAUUCAACGUGGGACACUUCAAUAUAUUGACUAUAUCACGCA